AGAAAGGGUGGUAGAAGAGGAAGGAGGCUGUGAAUUCUUCUCAGCAACAUACAUGCUACAUGGCGGAAUAUUUUGGUUAAGAAUGCAACUCUGUUUGUGUUUUACAACUUAGUUUUGAACAUUUUGUAGCCAGAGUUGCAAGUCAUUCUGACUUGUGAUCAUUGGAGCUUUUUCAAUCUUGUGAGAUGGAAAUUAUUUUGUUGAGUUGGAUUAGUAAGUUGACUUCGUCAUUAUCUUCAUUAAAAAGUGAACACUUUUUGUUGCUUCGUCUU
Molecule: unclassified non-coding RNA, 272 nt
Filed under: Hevea brasiliensis (rubber tree)
Lineage: Eukaryota; Viridiplantae; Streptophyta; Magnoliopsida; Malpighiales; Euphorbiaceae
Source: RNAcentral